AAGAAUUAAAAUGAAUAAUCAUUACUGUUAGGUUAGAAGCCUAGAAAUUUAAUUCUUA
RNAcentral lists this transfer RNA (58 nucleotides) under Amblyomma fimbriatum (goanna tick). RNAcentral's name for it is "tRNA-Ser". Lineage: Eukaryota; Metazoa; Arthropoda; Arachnida; Ixodida; Ixodidae. The record is from RNAcentral.